AGUAACGCGUGGGGAACCUGCCCUAUACAGGGGGAUAACAGCUGGAAACGGUUGCUAAUACCGCAUAAGCGCACAGAAUCGCAUGAUUCAGUGUGAAAAGCCCUGGCAGUAUAGGAUGGUCCCGCGUCUGAUUAGCUGGUUGGUGAGGUAACGGCUCACCAAGGCGACGAUCAGUAGCCGGCUUGAGAGAGUGAACGGCCACAUUGGGACCGAGACACGGCCCAA
This 225-nucleotide ribosomal RNA is filed under the name uncultured bacterium. Its description in RNAcentral is "partial 16S ribosomal RNA". It matches the Rfam family "Bacterial small subunit ribosomal RNA", at positions 109 to 334 of the family's 1533-position model. The record is from RNAcentral.